UACAGAGGUCUCAAGCGUUGUUCGGAUUCAUUGGGCGUAAAGGGUGCGCAGGCGGUCGUUCAAGUCGAGUGUGAAAGCCCCCGGCUCAACUGGGGAGGGUCACUCGAUACUGAUCGACUCGAAGGCAGGAGAGGGAAGUGGAAUUCCCGGUGUAGUGGUGAAAUGCGUAGAGAUGUGGAGGAACACCAGUGGCGAAGGCGACUCUUUGGCCUGUAACUGACGCUGAGGCGCGAAAGCGUGGGGAGCAAACAGG
Molecule: ribosomal RNA, 253 nt
Filed under: uncultured bacterium
Lineage: Bacteria
Description: partial 16S ribosomal RNA
Rfam family: Bacterial small subunit ribosomal RNA
Source: RNAcentral